AUGGUGCCCGCCGACAUGCGCGUCCUCAGGCUCAUCUCCUCCAUGCUCCGUGUCGAGCAGGGGUCGCUCAAGGGUGAGACCAACUCCGUCAACAAGACUGCGCAUGCCGUGCCGGCCGAGGACGCUGACAUCCAGGCCAAGGAGUGCAUGGUGUUCGCGGGCACCACCGUCGUCAAUGGCAGCGCCGUCUGCCUCGUCGUGCGCACCGGGAUGGCCACCGAGAUCAGCAAGGUCAACCUUGGUGGUUUUCUCUCGUUCACCUCAUUCCUUCCCGGCUCACACGCUCCGUCCGCAGAAUAG
This 300-nucleotide ribosomal RNA is filed under the name Triticum aestivum (bread wheat). RNAcentral's name for it is "partial small subunit ribosomal RNA". Lineage: Eukaryota; Viridiplantae; Streptophyta; Magnoliopsida; Poales; Poaceae. The record is from RNAcentral.